Molecule: RNA transcript, 1591 nt
Organism: Arachis stenosperma
Lineage: Eukaryota; Viridiplantae; Streptophyta; Magnoliopsida; Fabales; Fabaceae
Gene name: mitogen-activated protein kinase 9-like
Exons: 7
Source: RefSeq, a predicted model, not a curated record
UAUUCUCCUAAGUUCCUAAUUAGAUUUCUCCUCCGUCGCACUCUGCUGCCGUCUUCCAUGGCGUCGUCGUCCCUCUGCGUCGCCCACAAGUGCUCUGUUCUGCUCCACUCGUCCGCCUUGCCUAUUGCAUCCCCUCGUCCCGCCUUGCCUCACUGCGCCUCGCGGUGCCUUGCCUCAAAUCGCCGCUCCUCAAAUCUUCCUCAUACUACACUAAGAACGGGAGAAAUGAUUUGCGGGCACAAUUGGCCUCUAUUUCCACUAGCAAUCAAGAAACUGAACUCACCAUUGACGAUGACUUUGAUAUCUCUGGAUUGAAGCCCCUCAAAGUCCCUACCCAGAUCUUCUUCAAACACUCUUCCAUGGAUACCCACAAAAAGGGUUCUGCAGAAGCUGAGUUUUUCACUGAGUAUGGAGAGGCAAGCCGAUACCAAAUCCACGAAGUCAUCAGGAAAGGAAGUUAUGGCGUCGUGGGCUUUGCCCUUGACACUCAUACUGGGGAAAAAGUUGCAAUCAAGAAAAUCAAUGAUGUUUUUGAACAUGUAUCGGAUGCUACAAGAAUCCUAAGAGAAAUUAAGCUCCUGCGCUUGCUUCGCCAUCCUGAUAUAGUAGAAAUUAAACAUAUUAUGCUUCCUCCUUCCCGUCGAGAGUUCAAGGAUAUCUACGUUGUCUUUGAGUUGAUGGAAUCUGACUUUCAUCAAGUAAUCAAGGCAAACGAUGAUCUUACACCUGAGCAUCACCAAUUUUUCUUGUACCAACUUCUUCGAGGCCUCAAAUAUAUACAUACAGAUAUGUGAUUUUGGACUUGCUCGAGUUUCUUUUAAUGAUGCUCCAUCAGCUAUAUUCUGGACUGUAAGUGUACUAUUGUGCAUGCCAUGUCAAUCUGUUACUUGUUUACCACCUCUUGCUGACUUAAUUUACUUACUCUUACUAAGGACUAUGUUGCAACUCGAUGGUACCGGGCACCUGAAUUAUGUGGUUCUUUUUUCUGUAAAUAUACCCCUGCAAUUGAUAUCUGGAGCAUUGGAUGCAUAUUUGCAAAGAUGCUCAAUGGAAAGCCAUUGUUUCCGGGUAAAAAUGUGGUGCACCAAUUAGAUCUCAUGACGGAUUUGCUUGGCAGUCCUCCACCUGAGUCCAUUGCAAGGGUAGCUGCUAAUUAUGUAGCAAUGGUUCCUUCCGGAUAAGUAUUUGAUAGGAAAAAAAGCGAAAGAUUAAUGCAGAAAAGAAGAGGAAAGAGCUCGAGAAGGAGAGAGCGAAGGAUGAACUUCUGAUGAGAAAGUGCCAGAAUGCUUUGGUGUUGCUUUGUGAUUGUAGGUGGUCCAAAAGCAGCAUGUGCUGGUUGUGCUGGCUUUGCGGCAUUCUCAGUCGUUAUAGAGAAAUUCUUAGACAUGCAUGAGUAGUUACCUAUUGAAUUGAAGUCACCCAAUUUUGUAUUCAUUAGGCAUAGCAUGGAUUUUCAUAGUGAUAAUCUUUUGCCCAUUUGCUAAAGAGCGCAUACAAAAUUGUAGUAUUUUAUUUUACAUCGAUUAUUGUUUAUUUGUAUACAAUAUCAAUUGGUGGAUGCAUUCCUCCAAUUCUAAACUAGAUGUAAGUA